Molecule: ribosomal RNA, 292 nt
Filed under: uncultured bacterium
Lineage: Bacteria
Description: partial 16S ribosomal RNA
Rfam family: Bacterial small subunit ribosomal RNA
Source: RNAcentral
GUGUCAGCCGCCGCGGUAAUACGAAGGGGGCUAGCGUUGUUCGGAAUAACUGGGCGUAAAGGGCGCGUAGGCGGUUAGAUACGUCUGAUGUGAAAGUCCUGGGCUUAACCUAGGGACUGCAUUGGAUACGGUUUAGCUUGAGUGCGAGAGGGGAAAAUGGAAUUGCGCGUGUAGAGGUGAAAUUCGUAGAGAUGCGCAAGAACACCAGUGGCGAAGGCGAUUUUCUGGCUCGCAACUGACGCUGAGGCGCGAAAGCGUGGGGAGCAAACAGGAUUAGAAACCCUGGUAGUCC